RNAcentral lists this ribosomal RNA (905 nucleotides) under Vamsapriya bambusicola. RNAcentral's name for it is "eukaryotic LSU rRNA". It matches the Rfam family "Eukaryotic large subunit ribosomal RNA", at positions 30 to 963 of the family's 3401-position model. Lineage: Eukaryota; Fungi; Ascomycota; Sordariomycetes; Xylariales; Vamsapriyaceae. The record is from RNAcentral.
UAACUUAAGCAUAUCAAUAAGCGGAGGAAAAGAAACCAACAGGGAUUGCCCUAGUAACGGCGAGUGAAGCGGCAACAGCUCAAAUUUGAAAGCUGGCCUUCUGGUCCGCAUUGUAAUUUGCAGAGGAUGCUUUUGGCGCGGUGCCUUCCGAGUUCCCUGGAACGGGACGCCUUAGAGGGUGAGAGCCCCGUACGGUUGGACACCAAGCCUCUGUAAAGCUCCUUCGACGAGUCGAGUAGUUUGGGAAUGCUGCUCUAAAUGGGAGGUAAAUUUCUUCUAAAGCUAAAUACCGGCCAGAGACCGAUAGCGCACAAGUAGAGUGAUCGAAAGAUGAAAAGCACUUUGAAAAGAGGGUUAAACAGCACGUGAAAUUGUUGAAAGGGAAGCGUUUGCGACCAGACUUUUUCCAGGCGGAUCAUCCGGUGUUCUCACCGGUGCACUUCGCCUGGUUUAGGCCAGCAUCGGUUUCUGUAGGGGGAUAAAAGCUUGGGGAAAGUAGCUCUCUAGGGAGUGUUAUAGCCCCUUGCAUAAUACCCCUACGGGGACCGAGGAUCGCGCUCUGCAAGGAUGCUGGCGUAAUGGUCGUCAACGACCCGUCUUGAAACACGGACCAAGGAGUCGAACAUUUGUGCGAGUGUUUGGGUGUUAAACCCUCACGCGUAAUGAAAGUGAACGGAGGUGAGAGCCCUUACGGGUGCAUCAUCGACCGAUCCUGAUGUCUUCGGAUGGAUUUGAGUAAGAGCAUUAAUGUUCGGACCCGAAAGAUGGUGAACUAUGCGUGGAUAGGGUGAAGCCAGAGGAGACUCUGGUGGAGGCUCGCAGCGGUUCUGACGUGCAAAUCGAUCGUCAAAUCUGCGCAUGGGGGCGAAAGACUAAUCGAACCAUCUAGUAGCUGGUUACCGCCG